AUGGAAUCAAUUUGCGCAAAUGUUGUGACUGCUAGUUUGAUCCUAGCAUGGGAUCGAGCUACCGUGGAAACGGAAUAUCAACAGUUUAAGCCCAACCCAUGUUUUCUGAACCUUUUCUAUGCAAGUGUUGGUCCUACAUCCCCGCCUAUUUUCCAACCUCAAAGUAAUCUGGGCAAUUUGAGGAAAUGCCACAGCUUUCCUCGCACUUUGCUCUUAUACCACAUCUUUCUUUUUAUUGGAGUAAAUAGCACAUCUUUGAUUGAUAGUUGGACAAAAUACCACAAAUUGAUUUUUCCCCUUCUUUUCCACGCCCAGACCCACACCAAAUUUGUGCAGGACGGAUUUACCCUCAGGCCGUUUCCACGAUCAACAGAUCAAAAAAAGGAGAAACGAUGA
This 396-nucleotide ribosomal RNA is filed under the name Triticum aestivum (bread wheat). Its description in RNAcentral is "partial small subunit ribosomal RNA". Lineage: Eukaryota; Viridiplantae; Streptophyta; Magnoliopsida; Poales; Poaceae. The record is from RNAcentral.